Molecule: ribosomal RNA, 484 nt
Filed under: uncultured bacterium
Lineage: Bacteria
Description: partial 16S ribosomal RNA
Rfam family: Bacterial small subunit ribosomal RNA
Source: RNAcentral
AUUGAACGCUGGCGGCAGGCCUAACACAUGCAAGUCGAGCGGAUGAAGGGAGCUUGCUCCUGGAUUCAGCGGCGGACGGGUGAGUAAUGCCUAGGAAUCUGCUAGGUAGCGGGGGAUAACGUCCGGAAACGGGCGCUAAUACCGCAUACGUCCUGAGGGAGAAAGUGGGGGAUCUUGGGACCUGACGCUAUAUGAUGAGCCUAGGUGGGAUUAGCUAGUUGGUGGGGUAAAGACGUACCAAGGCGGCGAUCCGUGACGGGCCUGAGAGGAUGAUCAGUCACACUGGAACUGAGACACGGUCGAGACUCCUACGGGAGGCAGCAGUAGGGAAUAUUGGAGAAUGGGCGAAAGACUGAUCCAGCCACGACGCGGGUGUGAAGAAGGUCUUCGGAUUGUAGAGCACUUUAAGUUGGGAUGAAGGGGAGUAAGUUAAUAUCUUGGUGGUUUGACGGUACCUACAGAAUAAGCGCCGGCUAACUACGUG